UCCGUGCUGGCGAAAAAGGGUUCUGACUUCACAGCCUUCCCCGCCUAAACACACACUCUUAACUCCUUCUUUCCCAGAUUCUGAAAUAGUUACGCCUCCGGUUUGGGCGAAAUCUUUUCUUCCAUUUGUGCCAGUUCGAUUAUGCAAAUGUCAUUCAUGAUCAACCACGAGAUAUUUUGGCUGUUUUUACAGACGUAUGUUGGUUGCUGUAAUUUUCUUUUUGUGUCUCCUAUUUUAUGAGCCUACCACACAUUUUCAGACGUUCAGAGGAACACAUUUAAGAAACAGAACUUUCCGUAGGAUGGGAACAUGAAGGUGGGCUGUGAGUCUUGCCUUGGAGUGCCCUCCAGCCACGUCGGCUGCUGCCUCGUCCUGCUGCACGGAGCAGCCCUCACCUUUUGCCGGGGCUCUUUCACUCUUCCUCAUGUGCGACCCAACCCUCGCAGGUCCUGCGUCCUUCUUACUGAGCUGCUCCCCCAGUUGACCAUCCACGCUUGCUUCCCAAGGAAAGACGAAGGCAUCAUCGGUACCUCGUGUGUCUGAGACACGCCUUUCUCCUCCGCGAUUCCUUUUGCUUAGCGAUGAAACGCUGAUGGAGCACCGGGUCAAACCACGAACACGAACCUCCUAGUUUGUUCCUUGUUUGCUGAGUGUAACAGUCCAGCUUAAGGGAGCCUCCACACUUUGAAGGUGUUUCUGCAUUUUCCUUCUAGGCUGCGCUCUUCGGAGGAAGCUGGAUGUCAUUCUUAUUCACAUUAUCUUGGAGUGAACACGCGAGCUUUUUCCCUCUCUCCCUGCUACUUUAAUUCCUAGUGUUUGGAGGUAACAGCAGUGCCCCCUCCGUGUAAGUAAUUUUAAACACAUUCAUCUCCAUAAGUUUAAUCUUGAAAUCCUUAUGUUUCCUUUUAAAAUUUUUUCUCGUUGAUUUCAUUGAUGACGUCCAUCGCCUCUGUUUUCUUUCUUUAUCUGUUGUUGGUUAGAGUUUGUAGAGUAAUCAAAUCUUAAAAGUAGGUUCAACAGUAACGUGCUAUUUCGUUAAUGUUUUGUUUUCUGUUGGGAGUUCUCCUUGAUGUUGUCUCCCAGCUUGUCUAUUUAUUUCUUUAAAUUCCUGCCAACGUAUUUUUUAUUACUCCAUGAAUUUUAUUACAUUUAUAGUUUAACGACAAUCAUCACAGUCCAAUUUUAUAGCAUUUCCAUCCCAAACCUUCAGUGCACCCCCCAUCCCUCCAACCUGUCUCUUUUGGAAACCAUAAGUUUUUUGGAGUCAGUGAGUCAGUAUCUGUUCUACAAAGAAGUUCAUUGUGUCCUUUCUUCAGAUUUCACACGUCAGUGAUAGCAUAUGAUAUCGGUGUCUCACCAUCUAACUUCACUUAGCAUAAUCUCUAGGUCCACCCAUGUUGCUGCAAAUGCCAUCAUUUCUUUCCUCUUAAGGGCUGAGUAAUAUUCCAUUGUGUACAUGUACCACAUCAAGAGAUCCACUCCUCUGUCGAUGGACAUUGAGGUUGUUUCCAUGUCUUGGCCAUUGAAAAUAGUGCUGCCAUGAACAUCUGAGUACAUGUGUCUUUGCGAGUCAUGGUUUUCUCUGGAUAGAUGCCCAGGAGUGGGAUUGCUGGGUCAAAUGGCAGUUCUCUUUUUAGUUUUCUGAGGCAUCUCCAUACUGUUUUCCACAGUGGUUGCACACAUUUACAAUCCCACCAACAGUGUAAGAGGGUUUCCUUUUCUCCACACCCUCUCCAGCACUGAUUGUUUGUAGACUUUGUGAUGAUGGCCAUUCUGGCUGGUGUAAGGUGGUACCUCUGAGUGGUUUUGAUUUGCAUUUCUCUGGUAAUGAGUGAUGUUGAACAUCUUUUCAUGUGUUUUUGGCCGUCUCUGUGUCUUCUUUGGAGAAUGGUCUGUUUAGGUCUUCUGCCUGCCAACAUAUUUUUAACCUCCAAGAGUGGUUGUUUUUUCUUCUCCAAAUGUUGCCUGUUUGAGUUCUGAGAGUAUCGUAGGUUUUUGAGAUGUUCUUCUGCAUUAACUUUUUACUCUGAGUUUUAUAACUUUCUCAUUUUUAUUUGGAUCUCUCUUUCUUGUUGUAAGUUUUCCUACACUAUCUGGGGACCCUGAUGAGAUAACAUGAAGUUAGACAACAAAGCACAUUCCAGCCCGUAGUUGAAAUGUGUGCAUUUCCUACUUCAGGACUUUAGAAGUUUAUUUGGAAGCUACAAAUUCACACACUCUAAGAAUUAACCAGAAUACCCAUUUUGUUGUCUGUUUAAGAACAAGCUGUCCUGCAUCGCCUGGCAUCCUGGAGUUUGAUUGUAUUGUGGCAGGCAGGUCGUGAGGCUGUCUCCACGCAACUUCAAUACAUUUGGCUACAAUAUAAAUCACCUGUUGAAUUAGCUGUUCCUUUACCCACCAACAUCAAAUAAUUAUUUUUAGUGAAGUUAUUUAUUUUAAGGAAAUAAUACCAGAAGCCUUCUUUUGGAAAUGAAUUUUCUAGGCUAUUCAGAUGGGAAAGGGGAGUGUGAACAAGUGUAGGAAGAAGUUUCUGUUACAUACUCGUAAAUAUUUAAUUUUCAGCAAGGGCUGAGUUUUAAACUUGUGCCUAGGCAUUGGGCUAAACACACUACAGUUAUUAAAAUGUAUCAUUUUUCCAGCCUCCAUAAUGUUCUAGUUUUACAGAUGAAAAAAUAGGUUUAUGGAAGAUAAAUAAUUUUCGAGAAUCCAUACAUCCAGUUAAGUAGGAAAAUAAGGAUUUUAAUAUGUGUUUUUAUAUUGGUAGGAUAUUUCAUUUUAAAAAAUGUAUUGGCGUAUAGUUGACUUACAGUGUUGUAUUAGUUCCAGGUGUACAGCAAAGUGAGUCAGUUAUGUAUAUACAUAUAUCCAUUCUUUUUCCCAUACAGGUUAUUACAGACUGUCGAGUGGAUCUCACUGUGCUGUGCAGCAGGUUCUUGUUAGUGAGCUGAUUACACAGGAGUGUGUAUAUGUUAUUACCAUCCUCCUAAUCCCCCCUGUCCCCCCUGUGAUGCCAUACGCUUGAUUUUGAAAUGUAUGAGUUUUGUUUCCAUUAUAUAAAAUUCUUCUGUAUCUGUUUUUAAGAUUUCAAUGCAAAUCUUACCUCUUUAAGAGCUUCUGCCUCUCUAUAGCAAACUCCAUAUAAUUAUUCAUAGUUUCAAAAACUUUCCAAAUCCUCAUAGUUAUCAUUAGAAGCAUAAAUUAUCAUCAUCAUAAUUAUUAUUUUAUUAUUAAAUAAUUAUUAAUAAAGUCUGUAAAAUUAAAUUUAUGUAUAGAAGGGAAAUUUCAUAAAUUAUACUUUGUUAAAAGAAAACCUUCAUCUUUUAAUGAGAUACUUUACCAGAUAUCCAAUUUAUGUAUUCUAUUCUUAGAGUAAAUACUUAUUUCCAAUAUUUUUUCUUACCUAAAAUUGUUAGCAAUUUUAAGAAUUGCUAUCUGGCAAAUAGUUACAGAAGAGUGAAGUCAGAAACUUGUAGGUUGGAAGUAGCAAGUCAGUUGAUUUUUUUUGGAUCUCAUCUUAGUUUCCACUUUAAAAAAACAUUCUAUUUUUAUUAUAAGACAAUGAUUCCAACCAGUAAGCUAGUCUCAAAGGAAAGUUAGCCAUGCUUAGAAAAGCAGGGUCAGAAUCAGAGUUGGAGUAGCUGUCAGGUGAAUACCUUUUCUGAGACUGACAGUUUCCAGUGAGGUGACGGAUAAUUUUAAAAAAGCAGUGGAAAAAAAAUAAGAAGUCUUACCAGUUCCCCUAGUUUUAGUAAUAAUACAUUUAUUAAAAUGCUUCUUUUUAAUAAAAAAAGCUAUGACGUUUCCGUUGCGUUGGCCUUCCCUUGUUUUCCAUGGAGACCCAUGGGUACAAUCCCAAGAGUUCCAGCUGCCUCAGCUGUACCCAGUUCUCUGCUUAGUUCCCACCAGACAUAGAAGCUGGAGAAAUGGGUGGAAGUGUCUGUCUCUGUUCUUAGUAGUCUCUCAUGAAAUUGUUGCAGGAAUUAAACAAGACAUAGUUUAAUGAUAAUUCAGUCAGUAAAGCUGCUCCCAUGCUCAGUGGUAUAAAGUAGAGAAUGUGGGUUGAGAGAGACACACACAGAGUUCCCAGGAGCCAGAGACCCCAAUCCACGGCUACCGGGAGGCACUGCAGUGUGGGAGCCCUUUGUAGCAGGUUCAGGCUGGGAAAAAGUAUAGAAUGAGUAUCCGUGUUUUCUUAGUGCCUUUGACAGCAUGAUCUGUUUUACAUUUGUUGCCCUAAACCCUUCACCGAACCCUUCUUGACAUGAUGGGAAACUGAUUCCUCGGGCUUUGCUCCUGAAUUUUACUCUCAGAAGGAUCUGGGGAGUGGAGUUAGGGAUGCUGACGGUGGGUUUGAAAUCUGCUAAGAGGGCAGUAGAUCCUCAGGGUUCUUAUCACACACUCAGAGGAGGGUAAGCUUGGGAGGUGGUGGCCGUGCGAACGAGCCGACUGUGUGAUCAUUUCUCAGGAAGACAGAGGUUAAAGCACUUCGUACAUCUCUGAAAAUGCACCCGUGCACCUCAGCGUGUGUGCACUUUUAUCAGUCUUGGAGGAAACCCGGAGAUGCCGAAACCCGGAAGGUGACGCACCACCUAGGGCAGCCCAGACCACCUCGCUGCUUCCGCCGGCAGCCCCUGCCCCCGAGCCGGGCGCACCUGGUCCCCGCACCCCAGCCCUUCCGGGCUCCCAGCUGCGGCCGCGUCAGUGUGGCCCUGAGACCGACUCUGACUGCAGACCCUCCCACGGUCCUGCCUCUGGCGUCCUCUGGGCCCCGUCGAGGGGACGCUUCUCUCGGUUGGGGUGACGCGUAAGCCGCACAGAGCAGCAGGGCGCAGCCACGGGGCGCCAGCUCUGCAGCAGGAGAGCGCUAGCCCGGGGGGUCCAGAGGGAGCCUACAAAGAGCAGGCGUCGCUGGGAUGUCCCAGCCCUCGAAGAGCCAACUCUCCCGUGUAAUUUCUCAGGAUGCCUCACCAGACAAAGGCAUUCGCUUCAGAGAGGGAAGCAGGAGGUUCGACCUGGAGAGGUCAAAGGAUGCGUCCUUGGGGGUGGAAGGGGGUCCCCAGAUGAGGCCUUGCAGCCAGCCUGAGGCCCGCGGGGGGAUUCGCACAGCAGAACUGCAGGAGAAAAGGUUAGCUGUGCGUCCGCGGGUGGAGGGUUUCUUAUGGAGAGUCUGCAGAUAAGUUAGGGAUAGACCCGUUACAGAAAACGAAGCAAUAAGCUUACCGGACCGAUACCCCCAAAGAAUGCUUAACUCUGGGGAACCAAAGAAGUUGUUAAGGAAAGUAAAGCAAUUAUAAUAUUGUACACAUGGUUAGAGUCAUAUUUAUAAAAACAUGGACGGAACCCCUGGGCCUGUGGAGGCAUCCUUUUAAGGGCUUCUUCCGCGCCUUGGGAAGCCGUCGGAGCAUUGCUUUUCCUGUAGAGGAAGGAAUGGCUCUAAAGAGCAAGGCCAAGAGACCGCAUUUACCUGCAUGCCAAGAAAAUUAUUUUGCAGAAUGUGCUCAGCCCAGCCAAUGAAAGAACACUGAUGCCAGUUGAACUCACUGCUCUGCCCAAUCUGUUACAUUGUGUGUGUGUGUGGGUAUGUGUGAAUAGGAAAAAGCUGUUACUGCCAAUAUCGCUGUGAAAACAUCCAAAUAGCGAAUAACUUGUUCUUUUAAAUCUGAGGGAUGAGUAAUUUGGGAAUAACACACUGUAGCAGUUACUGCUCUCCAAAGACCAGCAACACUGUUUGCCACUGAAUUUUCACUCUCCCCCCCCUUAGUCAUUUAUCCAAGACGUAGCUGUCUCUUUUUACGCUGAUGCUAAUAAUAGUCUCAGUCUGUCCAGACAACAUGCUGGCUCCUCGGAGGCCUCUCCCCAUCCUGGGUGAGCGCUUUGACCCACACCAGCCUCGGUCCCGCCAGGUCCUGCCGUCGCUUGGACACCUCUUCCUAGUGCUCUGCCUUCACCUGUUUUAGACACAGAAGAACAAUAAGCUACUCUUUUGAUUAAAACCCUGCAGUGAAUCACCGCCUCACUCAGAGUCAGCCCAGUGCCUUCACAGUAACCCACUGUGAUCUGUCCCCAAACGCAAGACACUGUCCCCCCCCACACCGAGCCUCUUCCCCACCUCCCUGUCUCGCUUCCCUGUCGGGCAGGCUCCACCUUCAGGGUUUACUCUGAUGAUCGCUCUCUGCUUGACUUGUGUUUUCCUCCCCGAUGCUUCGUUCCCUGAUCAACUCCAUGCUCCUCCUAGAGCCUCUGAUCUGACCUGGGAGCAUCCCCAGAUCAGCGGUGCUCGUGUGAACAAACAGCGGGGCUGUGGACGGUGGGAGGACCAGGGUCUCAGUGGGAGACUGUGCUUCAGUGCACGUGUUCUCAUUGUUAUUUUUUUAAUUUUAUUUAUUUACCUAUUUUUUUAUUUUAGGGGAUUUUUACUUUUUCCAUUAUAGCUGGUUUACAGUGUUCUGUCAAUUUUCAACUGUACCGCAAGGGGACCCCGUCACACACACACACAUACAUUCUUUUUCUCACUUUAUCCUCCAUCGUGUUCCAUCACAAGUGACUGGAUAUAGUUCCCAGUGCUCUGCUGCAGGAUGUUCUCAUUUUUAAAUUUUCCUGUAUAGACAGUCAACUUCCCGAUCCCACUCUGCUCCUUUUCUGUAUUUUGCACACUUUGCUGCUCAUGGUCUUUCUGAAUUUCCAUGCUCCAGGUAGAGGUCAAAACUAAAAGGUUUUCAGCAUGGCUCAGAUGAAAUUGUUUGGUUAAGCCCCAGUUUCCGGGGGGCAGAAAUCAAUGUGUUCACUGAAACCAAAGCUCCCCAAUAUCAGGGCAACACCACCAUGCGGUAAGGUCAGCUUAUCCUUUCCCAGUCCCGACAUGCCUUGGAGAAUGAUGGCCUGACACAGAGGCUAUUAUCUUUCCUUUAGGGAAGAUUUGCACAGAAACACUAAAAUAGAAUGCAGCGGACCAAAGAAGCCAACACACCUACUGCCCCAAGCAGAAUAAAUUAUAAAACUCCUGUUUUAUAGCUGUUUGAGAGCAUGAGAAGUGAGAAAUAGACAUACUGAAAUUUCACAGACAGAAAAAAUAUUUCUAGGUAAUCUGAUCACUUCUGGCCAUUUUCUUCCACGGGGGCAUAGCUGAUUCUGGCUAUGAGUUAAUGAGGAGGCUUAGCCU
Molecule: long non-coding RNA, 7159 nt
Filed under: Sus scrofa (pig)
Lineage: Eukaryota; Metazoa; Chordata; Mammalia; Artiodactyla; Suidae
Description: lncRNA (ENSSSCG00000053416.1)
Source: RNAcentral